UAAGAACAUUAGCAGUGUCGAUAUUGGUAUGGAACUAGGCAUUGACCACAAAAGUGUUUUAAACCAUUUACACAAAGCUGGAUAUUUGGGUUCCUCAUGAGUUGAGCGCGGAAAACAUGAUGAAUCGAAUCAACAUCUGUGACGCGCUGCUGAAACGUAAUGAAAUCGAGCCAUUUCUGAAACGUGUCAUAACCGGUGAUGAAAAAUGGAUCACGUACGAGAAUCGGAAGCGCCAAAGAUCGUGAACAAAAGAUGGUGAGCCGUCACAAGCGUUUGCGAAGCUAGGAUUGACGCUUAAAAAAGGUGAUACUGUAUGUGUGUGGUGGGACUGGAAAGGAAUCGACCACCAUGAGGUACUUCCAAUUGAUCGGACGAUUAAUCCUCAACUCUACUGUGAACAACUAGAGAGAUUAUGCCACGCAAUUAAAAAAAAUGGCCCGAAUUGCAUAAUAGGAAAAGUGUUGUCUUCCAUCGCGACAACGCCUGACCACACAUUUCUUUGACGACCCGUAAAAAAUUGGGAGAGCUUGGUUGGGAAAUUUUGAUGCACCCACCGCAUAGUCCAGACAUAGCACCCUCUGACUGUCACUUGUUCCGAUCUCUGCAGAACUCUCUCAAUGGAAUUAAACUGGCUUCAAAAGAAGCCUGUGAAAACCACUUGAUUCAGUUUUUUAAACAGAAACCGCAGAAGUUCUUCACCGAUGGCAUCGUGAUUCCACCCGAGAAAUGGCGAAACAUUGUCGAUAAUAAUGGAGCAUAUUUGGUUUAAAUAAAUUCGUUUUCACAAUAUAAGAAA
Megalopta genalis is the source of this 796-nucleotide non-coding RNA. Lineage: Eukaryota; Metazoa; Arthropoda; Insecta; Hymenoptera; Halictidae. The record is from RefSeq and is a predicted model, not a curated record.